AAGAAUUCAAGUUUGAUUUAUUCUUUCAAUCCCCUUUCCUUUCUGCUAGUUUUCUCCUCUCCACUUGUGUGUGAUCCCUGCUUUAGGUGUUUGUUGGUGUUUCUGUCUUCCCGUUUUCAGAGUUUUCUAGCUUCUCUAUCUUUGUUUCUCUCCCAGUUUUUCUUUCCUUGUUCUUGAUUUUCAUCCCUCCCCAUUGGGCUCGUCAUCUUUGUGCCUCUGUG
RNAcentral lists this long non-coding RNA (221 nucleotides) under Lathyrus oleraceus (garden pea). RNAcentral describes it as "Pisum sativum (pea) long non-coding RNA (PSAT_LNC022348)". The record is from RNAcentral. Lineage: Eukaryota; Viridiplantae; Streptophyta; Magnoliopsida; Fabales; Fabaceae.